This 209-nucleotide long non-coding RNA is filed under the name Lathyrus oleraceus (garden pea). RNAcentral describes it as "Pisum sativum (pea) long non-coding RNA (PSAT_LNC041359)". The record is from RNAcentral. Lineage: Eukaryota; Viridiplantae; Streptophyta; Magnoliopsida; Fabales; Fabaceae.
AGGGUAAUAGGAACAGAAUUGCCUUUUGUUUCACUGAAACUCUGAAUUUAUAACCUGAUUUUUGUGGACCUGUGGGCUCAAAUGAGAGAGGUCCAAGUCCAAGAUUUAUUUAUUUAUUUAUUUAUUUUCGUUUUUCGUUUUUUUUUCUCAUUUUUUUUUUCGUUUUUUUUUCAAAACACGUGGGCUUCGCCUAGCGAGCAUGACAGCUC